Molecule: long non-coding RNA, 1938 nt
Organism: Trifolium pratense (red clover)
Lineage: Eukaryota; Viridiplantae; Streptophyta; Magnoliopsida; Fabales; Fabaceae
Exons: 10
Source: RefSeq, a predicted model, not a curated record
AGCAGAAGAACGUCCCUUUCACGGCAGAUUUUUCAUGCUAGAAUCCAAAAACUUCAAUUAGGUUGGAAUCAAUUUCAAAUUUCAAAUUUCAAAUUCUUCCUCUCUUCAAUAUCAUAACUCCCUUUCUUUCUCAUGGAUUUCAAUUCUUCUCUCAUCAUCUCUCUCAUCCUCUCUGAUAUCUUCACCACCACCAACACCUUCGCUGCCGUCACUUUCUUUCUCAUUGAUUUCAUUAAGUUCUCUUCUCAAUCAAAUCCUCCACUAGGUUCACUUCCAUUGCAAUCUUCAGAAGUCACAAAACCUUAUGAACAUACUUUAUGGAUUUGAUGUAUAAGCAUGAAGGUUUCUUCAGCUUCUUCAUAUAGAAAGGUUCCGAAAUUAGGGUUUGAUUGGGUUUACAAAUUAGGAUUUGACUGGGUAAGUUUUAUAAAGUUUAAUUGAUUAAAGAAAAAUAUAGCAACACUAUGCCUCUCUUGAUUGUAAGUACUAUUUAUGUUCUUACCUUGACAAUCAUAUAUAUCAUGUUUUUUUGUUCUUCAAUUGGUUGUGGUUAUUAGAUGGAAAAUUUAGUUACACUAGAUAAUUAGGAUUUUAUUUAAUUAUAUAUUUAUUAGGAUUUGUUUCUAUGUUUUAGUUAAUAAUCUCUACCUUUUAGGAGUUGUUAGUGGGAUUUAGAUGGUUUUCUCCACCACAAUAUGAUCGAUUUGUUUUUGUUAAAUUUUAGAUUUGUAUCAAUUUUUUUUUUUGGAUUUGAUUUGUUUCAAUUUUAAUUUGUUUUAUUUGUUAUUUGUAAACUUUAAUUGAGGAGAAAACCAAAUUGAUAUACCAGUAGUUUUCAUAAGAUUUUUUUUUUCUAAAUUUUAAUUUUUUAUUUCAAAAUUUUAAUUUCAUUCGAUCUAUAAACUUUUUUAUAAGUAAUAAGUUAGUUUGAUUGAAUGUAUUUCUUCUCCAUGAACAUUAAAACAAAUGAGAGACAGAAGCAUGGUUGUAAGUUGUAACGUCCUUUUCAUCUGUCUCUCUCAAAAGCCAAAUGUUGCCGCGCUAAUACCUGUUUUAUAUGUUGCUACUAUUGUUGUAUUUCUGCUUUGUUGGAAUCAAUUUCAAAAUUCAAUUUAUCCCACUCUUUUUCAAUAUCUAAACUCACUUUCUUACUCAUCUCUCUCCAUUUUUUGUUGAUUCCUUUGAACUUCGUCUCUCUCCAUGAAUCAACCAUCUUGGAUGGCACAAACCACAAUCUUCAAAGGUUUUCUUCUCAAUCUUCUCAAUCUAAUCCUCCAACCUGUUUCAAGACCCAUCCCACAGUAAAGUUUUGAUACCUGAUCGAAGGAAUCGCUCUCUCUCGCAUGACACAAUCAGAGAUUUUGUUAAUUUCGAAAGUUGGAUCUUUUACUGCUCGAAAAAGUCAAAGAAACAGGGGUUGGAAGAAUAAAGCAGAAGAGGGGUUAUAAAGAUCGAUGGAUGUACACGGAUGAAAAUGGAAAAAAUACGGCUGAUGCGUGCCUUAUUGCUUACAAAGAUCCUUAUUCAGCUCACUUUGCCGGUAGUUUUUUCAAUGGUGCACCUAUAGUAGGUAUGCUUUUUGAGAAGAUAGAAUAAGACACUGAUGCACAUGAUAAGAACGUUGAGGGAUAAGGAGAAGAAAAAGGAAUAGAAUGGUAAAACUGAUGCAUAGUAUAGGGAGGAUCGUGUAAUGUACAUAUAUGCUAUCAUACAUUUAAAACCACACAUUCAAUUUGUUGACUCUAUAUUUGAAGAGAUUAUUAUGCAAUGACUUAAAUUUUGAAUUUGGAGUUAGACAAAAGUUAUGUAUUUUAGGGUUUUACGAAAACUAUGAUUUAAUUUUUUUCUUAUUAUGUAUUCUAUCCUUGGGCAAGUGAAUUAUGUAACCUUAGUUGUAGUAAUAACUUCAUUCUAUUUCUUAACAAGUACAUUGAAGAA